UUCGUGUCUGUUUCCCAACCUGCCGCAGGAGAAGGCCAGGCUGAGAGAUCUCUGCUGUCCUGGUGCCGCUGGCAUUGCGGGAACUCUGCCAUUGUCAGGAAAGGAGGAGGCGACGAGAGUCCCUUCAUGGGUAUAUCCUGAGGAAGAAAUACACAAGGGCACAGCAAGAAAUCGACCCUUCAUACAGCAGGAGAAGAGCCCUCACCAGGAAUCAAACCCCACAGGAAUAUCUCCUUGGAUUACAGCCCACAGAGCUACAGGAAAACAAACAUCUACGGCUUAAGUCCACAAUAUUUUGUUAUACAGCUAGAGCUGACCAAGACAGGGUGACAGGAAGGUACCACAGCCGCUGUAACCUCUGAGCAGGCUUGUAAUCCAUCCCCUCCGUCCCCAUGAGUAACAGGAAGGCAUGUGGCUGAGAUGUUGGAACGAGCUUCCUGUUAGAGCACCGUGCAGAGGCUGGGGAGUUUGGCGGUCAGUACACAGUCGGGUUGUGUCAGCUACUUUCCUGUUGCUGCGACCAGACACCUGACUACAGCAGCUGAGGCAGGAAGGGGUUAUCCUGGCUUGCGGUCUGAGGUACGGUCGGUCACAAUGGGGAAGGCAAGGCGGCAGGAACACACGGUGCUGCCCACAGCGCAGUGUGCUGCAGUCAGGGGCAGAUGGAGCGGAGGGCGGCUGCCCAGCUCACCGUCUCCUUUGUGUGCCCACAUCCAGGGUGGACAUUCCCUGUUCACUUAAACCUUUCAGAAGACACGUUACAGACACACCCAGAGACGUGUUUCAUGGUGACUCUGAAUCCUGUCUAGUCGGCAGGGAAGACUUCCCAUCAGGACACCACCAGUGUUGACUCAUGAAAAUGCAGCCCAGGCUAGACCUUCGACAACAUCAUGUGCUACUUUGGGAGUGUAAUUCAGCUUCUGUCGUUAUCUGAAUAACUCUGUUGUAUGGAAUCUACUGGAAAACAGCCCCAGCCUUCAGUGUAUGUAUUUGGGCAGAGAGCAGGAAAAACAAGAGCACCAGGAACCGAGACUCUGGGUUGUCCCAAAUCCACCUGUCCAGCCCAGUCCUCAGCACAGGUUUACCGUGCAGGCAGUGGAGAGGAAGGAGACAUCAACACAGACCCCAGCUGCAGUAGGACCAUGGACCCAGACAUGGCCCUUGGCAGCAGCAUGGACCCAGAAAUCACCAUGGCUUCAGGUGGCAGUGCCAAAAACCAUGUGGAAGUCCAUGAUCUAUGCUCCCGCUGACUGUAAAGGACAAGGAAUCCACUUUGGCAGUGGAAUUGAUGACUGUGGUGACUCACAGUUGAGAAGGCUUCUGUGACAACCCUACUGUCAUCCGCCCCAAGUAGCAGCCGACACAAAAGCCAUUGAAGAGAACUCUUAAAAGUUGUGAUAGGGAUCAUGAAGUGUAGCUCUCCACAACUGAAGGCUUAUGUUGGGGGUUGGGGGGAAGGACUCAGUUUUCUUUACGGGGCCAGCCUCCAGGAGUUUGACCGUGCUCAGUGAGUACAUGGGCAACACAAACUG
Long non-coding RNA from Peromyscus californicus insignis, 1532 nucleotides. RefSeq lists it as uncharacterized. NCBI's taxonomy places the organism in Eukaryota, Metazoa, Chordata, Mammalia, Rodentia, Cricetidae. The record is from RefSeq and is a predicted model, not a curated record. The transcript has 3 exons.